RNAcentral lists this ribosomal RNA (253 nucleotides) under uncultured bacterium. Its description in RNAcentral is "partial 16S ribosomal RNA". It matches the Rfam family "Bacterial small subunit ribosomal RNA", at positions 524 to 776 of the family's 1533-position model. The record is from RNAcentral.
UACGAAGGGUGCAAACGUUGCUCGGAAUUAUUGGGCGUAAAGCGCACGUAGGCGGCUUAGCAAGUCGGAAGUGAAAUCCCUCGGCUCAACCAAGGAAGUGCUUUCGAAACUGCUGAGCUUGAGUACGAAAGAGGAUCGCGGAAUUCCCGGUGUAGAGGUGAAAUUCGUAGAUAUCGGGAGGAACACCAGUGGCGAAGGCGGCGAUCUGGGUCGAUACUGACGCUGAGGUGCGAAAGCGUGGGGAGCAAACGGG